This 99-nucleotide transfer RNA is filed under the name Streptomyces sp. MBT84. Its description in RNAcentral is "tRNA-Asp". Lineage: Bacteria; Bacillati; Actinomycetota; Actinomycetes; Kitasatosporales; Streptomycetaceae. The record is from RNAcentral.
GGUCGACUGGCCCAUGCGGUGGGCCUACGAGGGUGUCGUCUUCGAGCCCUCCGGCGUCGACCACUCCUCCCCGGGUUCCAGUUUCCAGGUCGGCGGCCA